CACGUAGUUAGCCGACACUUAUUCUGUGGGUACCGUCCUUCCUCUUCCCCACUAAAAGGAUUUUACAACCCAAGGCCGUCUUCAUCCACGCGGCGUCGCUGCAUCAGACUUGCGUCCAUUGUGCAAUAUUCCC
Molecule: ribosomal RNA, 133 nt
Filed under: uncultured bacterium
Lineage: Bacteria
Description: partial 16S ribosomal RNA
Source: RNAcentral